Molecule: transfer RNA, 72 nt
Filed under: Corynebacterium pseudotuberculosis
Lineage: Bacteria; Bacillati; Actinomycetota; Actinomycetes; Mycobacteriales; Corynebacteriaceae
Description: tRNA-Trp
Rfam family: tRNA
About the family: Transfer RNA (tRNA) molecules are approximately 80 nucleotides in length. Their secondary structure includes four short double-helical elements and three loops (D, anti-codon, and T loops). Further hydrogen bonds mediate the characteristic L-shaped molecular structure. tRNAs have two regions of fundamental functional importance: the anti-codon, which is responsible for specific mRNA codon recognition, and the 3' end, to which the tRNAs corresponding amino acid is attached (by aminoacyl-tRNA synthetases). tRNAs cope with the degeneracy of the genetic code in two manners: having more than one tRNA (with a specific anti-codon) for a particular amino acid; and 'wobble' base-pairing, i.e. permitting non-standard base-pairing at the 3rd anti-codon position.
Source: RNAcentral
AGGGGCGUAGUUCAAUUGGUAGAGCAACGGUCUCCAAAACCGUAGGUGCAGGUUCGAGUCCUGUCGCCCCUG